UGCCUAGUCGUAAACUUUAACCUACUCCUUCAUCGCCCGGGAACUACGAGCUAAGCUUAAAACCCAAAGGACUUGACGGUACCCCAUAUCCCCCUAGAGGAGCCUGUCCUAUAAUCGAUAACCCCCGUUUAACCUCACCAUUUUUUGCCAAUCAGCCUGUAUACCUCCGUCGUCAGCUUACCACAUGAGCGUUAGUGAGCCUAAUGUUUUUCCAACUACACGUCAGGUCAAGGUGCAACAUAUAAAAUGGGAAGAGAUGGGCUACACUUUCUACCAUAGAAUAAACGAAAGACUAAUGAAACCCAGUCAGAAG
This 313-nucleotide ribosomal RNA is filed under the name Ameerega ignipedis. Its description in RNAcentral is "partial 12S ribosomal RNA". It matches the Rfam family "Bacterial small subunit ribosomal RNA", at positions 793 to 1281 of the family's 1533-position model. Lineage: Eukaryota; Metazoa; Chordata; Amphibia; Anura; Dendrobatidae. The record is from RNAcentral.